Molecule: unclassified non-coding RNA, 1346 nt
Filed under: Hevea brasiliensis (rubber tree)
Lineage: Eukaryota; Viridiplantae; Streptophyta; Magnoliopsida; Malpighiales; Euphorbiaceae
Source: RNAcentral
AAAAAGGGGAACAAUUGAAGGUGAGGUCAUUAAAAGGUAUAUCAGGAGGCCAUUCCUGCAAUGCUAGGAGUUGGUUGUGGACAUACCAUGGAGUGUUUUGGAGGACAAAGUGGGCAUCUGCUGCUUUCUCAAAAGUAAGAAUGAAAGUGUUAUUCUCUUGGGGGGCAAGUUGGAAUGGUCUUUUGGGACCUUAAGAUUUGGAUAGCGAUGCUGAGAUGGUACUGAGGCUAAAGGAUUUUUGAGAAACAAGUUUUCCAACUAAUAUUCUUUUCUGCUGCGUGGUCUCACUUUCUUGAUUGAAAGUGAGUUACAGUUCUUUUUCUUGGCAGCUAAGAGAAGGGCCUUAGUAAUGAGGUUUGAAACAUUCUUUUCAUAAUCUGACAUGGUUAGUUGCAAAGAAUGAUGAAGAGCAGCAAGAAAAUUAGUACAGAGAACAAGGUUAUUGAUGGUAAGUGAAUGCAAAGGUUGGUUCAAUUAGACAUAGGUAGGUAACAAGGCACCAGAGAAGGCUACAGAGAGCAGUCUAGGUGAAGAACGUUAAUAGUUUCAGCAAAUGGUAAAAUCAAUAAAUAAAAAAGAUCUCAUACAAUUAAAAUUAUCGAAGGGUCCAUAACUUUUCUCUGUAUUUUUAUUGAGAGAGUUCUCUCAGUUUAGUCCUUCUUCCUUAGGACGUGGCCCUCGUCAGUGCCUUCAUUGGUCUUCCCCUACCCCUUCUGGCAGGGGAGGACUUCUCUUCUCCUGAUCCAGUGUGGGUUCCGUCCUUGCCCCGCUACUAGGCUGUAAAUUUCUUGUUUUGGUUUGUAUUGCAGCUGGAUUGAAAUUGUAGAGGUCUUUAAGCUGCGUUGUUUUCUUUCAUGGUUCUGUUCUGUUUUUCUAGUGGGUGUGUUGCAGGUCUCUGAACAAGCAUCAGUGCGUUCUUUUGGUGAACUAUGGCGCGUGAAGGCUCCUAGAGAAGAAGGUAUCUAGCCGGAGUCCACAGUUUGACCCGUAAUGCGCGAGUGAGUCGUCAAUGAGCUAUGCCACCUCAUCCUUCGCUGGAUCUAUAGACGACUCCAAGUAGAUCCAGACAAUGACAAUGGUGAAAAAGCCUCCUUUGCUCUUCGAUUGGUUUUCUACGACAUAUUUUGACAAUUAUAAUUGGGAGAUCUUUUGUAUCAUCCAAUCUUCCUUGCUCUGCAUGUCUUCUCCAAUGACCGAUAAACAUUAGAUGGAUUGAGCGGCAUUCCUUGCUACUUUGUGUAUUAAUUAGGUCAUGGUUCAGAGUUGUUGACCCAUUACAGCUAGAGUUUUAGUUCUGUUGUUAGCCCUGUCUUUGGGUGGGCUAAACUGAACUUUUUUUUUUUUUU